RNAcentral lists this ribosomal RNA (420 nucleotides) under uncultured bacterium. Its description in RNAcentral is "bacterial SSU rRNA". It matches the Rfam family "Bacterial small subunit ribosomal RNA", at positions 355 to 773 of the family's 1533-position model. The record is from RNAcentral.
UAGGGAAUAUUGGACAAUGGGCGAGAGCCUGAUCCAGCCAUGCCGCGUGCAGGAAGAAGGCCUUCUGGGUUGUAAACUGCUUUUGCCAGGGGAUAAAAAGUCCCUGCGGGGAAAAUUGAAGGUACCUGGUGAAUAAGCCACGGCUAACUACGUGCCAGCGGCCGCGGUAAUACGUAGGUGGCAAGCGUUGUCCGGAUUUAUUGGGUUUAAAGGGUGCGUAGGCGGCCCCAUAAGUCAGUGGUGAAAUACGGCAGCUCAACUGUCGAGGUGCCAUUGAUACUGUGGGGCUUGAGUACAGACGAGGUAGGCGGAAUUGACGGUGUAGCGGUGAAAUGCUUAGAUAUCGUCAAGAACACCGAUAGCGAAGGCAGCUUACUAGGCUGUAACUGACGCUGAGGCACGAAAGUGUGGGGAUCAAAC